Linepithema humile (Argentine ant) is the source of this 748-nucleotide non-coding RNA. The record is from RefSeq and is a predicted model, not a curated record. NCBI's taxonomy places the organism in Eukaryota, Metazoa, Arthropoda, Insecta, Hymenoptera, Formicidae.
CGCUAAUGCUGGACAUUAGCGACUUAUUGAAGAAUGGCCCUGCGGCCACGCCUAUGUCAAUGAUCAAGUUUGCGGACGCGUCUACGCCCACGCCGUCGCCAAAGCGCACGCCAGCCCCCAACGCCGUAGUCUACGCUAAUGCUAAAACCUACGCCAACGCCAAAGCCUACGCCAACACCAACUCCCACGCCAUCGUCAACGCCCACGCCCACGCUGACGCUAACGUCAACACCAACGCCAAUAAAAUAUACGAGGCCUAACGAAUCAUCUUUCAGAUCAACUCCGCUCUUGUCCGUUGCGUAUGAUGGAUGGCAACCGCUACGGCUAUGACUACGGCUGCGGCCACGGUUACGGCUACGGCUAUGGCUACGGCAAGGGCUGCCGGCAACGGUUGCGGCUGCGGCUACGGCUGGUGCCUACGAAUGCGGCUGCGGCUACGGUUGGGCUAGGCUACAUAGCUACGGGCCACUCUAUAAUUCGUCGCUAAUGCUGGACAUUAGCGACUUAUUGAAGAAUGGCCCUGCGGCCACGCCUAUGUCAAUGAUCAAGUUUGCGGACGCGUCUACGCCCACGCCGUCGCCAAAGCGCACGCCAGCCCCCAACGCCGUAGUCUACGCUAAUGCUAAAACCUACGCCAACGCCAAAGCCUACGCCAACACCAACUCCUACGCCAUCGUCAACGCCCACGCCCACGCUGACGCUAACGUCAACACCAACGCCAAUAAAAUAUACGAGGCCUAACGAAUCA